AUUUUCUUGUGUGAAAACUCAUUUUUCAUUGAUAACUUCACCAUUAUUAUAUGAAGGGGAGCCUUGAGGCAAGAGUAAAGUUGUGCUCGUGUGAGCUAUAGUUGACGGGUUCGAGCCAUGCAAUCAGUCAUUGAUGUUUGCAUCAGGGUAGACUGCCUACAUUACACCCCUUGGGGUACGACCCUUCCCUGGACCCUACGUGAGUGCGAGAUGCUUCGCGCCCCGAACUAUCCUUUUUAUCUGCACCAUUUUUCUUCAAAGUUACUCUUACUAGUUGCUUACUUGUUACUUGAAACCUGAUUGAUCUAUUUAUUGAGAAGUGACUCAGAAGAUAUCUAAAGUCUUAUAGCUUCUAAGUUCUAACAACCAAUUGUCUUUCUUUGCAGCUUCCAGCUCUUGUCAAUGAUAUGCAAAUGCUGAGUACUGAGUAGAUGGAAAGAAUAUGCACCUCAAGCUUUGAAAGGUGCAAUGACAAAUGUAUUAUUUACUUACACUUCUUGUGAAGUCAAGGUAAUCAAGUUUGGUCUAUGUAUAAGAACAUAUGAUCCAGAUUCCACAGAUGUAUCAUUCUAUAAUUAAAAAGUUGCAUUAUAUUAGUUGAUGUAUAUUCCUUUACUCUACUCCCUCCCCCUCCCCGCGAUAUGUUCCACAGCGGAUGCAAUAUGUUUCGCUAGUUUAACUGAACCUAUUAUUUUUAAAUUUUUAACACGGAACGCAAU
Molecule: long non-coding RNA, 719 nt
Filed under: Nicotiana benthamiana
Lineage: Eukaryota; Viridiplantae; Streptophyta; Magnoliopsida; Solanales; Solanaceae
Description: long non-coding RNA (NBEN_LNC025632)
Source: RNAcentral